This 995-nucleotide long non-coding RNA is filed under the name Homo sapiens (human). Lineage: Eukaryota; Metazoa; Chordata; Mammalia; Primates; Hominidae. The record is from RNAcentral.
CAGUAAGGAGGGAGGGCAUGAAAUCUCAGGCUCCUGGGCGGGGCUGGGGAGGCCGGCCUUGUCACAGGCAGGAGGGGCCGCAUUCCUUCCUCAGCAGCUGGUGGAGCUGGGCCUGAGCAGGACUUCCCCAAAGGACUGAGAAGGAAGCCUCCACUCUGUCGUCGCUCUCUGCUUGGAAUUGCCUUCGGAAGACAUCCUCAAUCCUGCCCCAGCCUUACGAUUGUUUUGUGUCAUUAGAUGAAGUCACUUCACUUCUGAAGCUCACUUGCCUUUUCUAAAAACCGGAGGCUGAUAAGGAUUGCAGGAAACUCAUGGAGUUGUUCCGAGGUUAAAAUGAGAGUCUGCCUGUGGAAGGACAUUGCAGAUGAUAGAAGACACAGAUGUAAGGCAUCUACCUUAUCUUUACCAGUUUCAUCUUCUUCAUCUUCAUCUCAUUACCAUGGUCAUCCUCGUUAGCAGGGAAGAGCAGGAGUUCUCACGGCAGGAUAGGCUUCGCGGCUGUGCUGGGAAAUGCCUGUCUGAAGUAGGCCACACAUGGGCUGUGUGGAGGCUGGAGUGCACUGGUGUGAUCUCGGCUCACUGCAACCUCCACCUCCUGAGUUCAAGCGAUUCUUCUGCCUCAGUUUCCUGAGUAGCUGGAGCUAUAGGCGCAUGUCACCAUGCCCGGAUAAUUUUUGUAUUUUUGUAGUAGAGAUGGGGUUUUGCCAUAUUGGCCAAGCUGGUCUCAAACUGCUGACCUUGUGAUCCACCCACCUUGGCCUCCCAAAGUGCUGGGAUUACAGGCCUGAGCCACCGCACCCGGCCUUGUAUUUCUUUUUCUAUAAAUUACCUCUGUACCCUUUAUCCAUUUUAAAAAUUGGGCUGUCACUUAAAAAAAACUUAUUUGAUGGCAUUGUUUGUACCUUAGGACAUUAACUCUUUUAUAUAAGUUCUAUAGAACUUAUAUAAGUUAUAUAAGUUCUAUAUAACUUAUAUAAUGUUCUAUAAGUUCUAUA